UACGGAGGGUGCAAGCGUUAUCCGGAUUCACUGGGUUUAAAGGGUGCGUAGGUGGGUCUGUAAGUCAGUGGUGAAAUCUUCGAGCUUAACUCGGAAACUGCCAUUGAUACUAUAGAUCUUGAAUUUUCUGGAGGUAAGCGGAAUAUGUCAUGUAGCGGUGAAAUGCUUAGAUAUGACAUAGAACACCAAUUGCGAAGGCAGCUUACUACGGGAAACAUUUGACACUGAGGCACGAAAAGCGUGGGGGAUCAAAACAGGG
This 259-nucleotide ribosomal RNA is filed under the name uncultured bacterium. RNAcentral describes it as "partial 16S ribosomal RNA". It matches the Rfam family "Bacterial small subunit ribosomal RNA", at positions 524 to 777 of the family's 1533-position model. The record is from RNAcentral.